CCCUUAGACGUUCUGGGCCGUACGCGCGCUACACUGACCAGUGCAACAAGCAUCCGUCCUUGGCCGACAGGCCCGGGCAAUCUUUGAACGCUGGUCGUGAUGGGGAUAGACUUUUGCAAUUUUUGGUCUUCAACGAGGAAUUCCUAGUAAACGCAAGUCAUCAACUUGCAUUGAUUACGUCCCUGCCCUUUGUACACACCGCCCGUCGCACCUACCGAUUGAAUGGUCCGGUGAAGCCUCCGGAUUGGCGCGCACCUCGGUGCCGCCGAGAAGUUGGCUAAACCUUACCAUUUAGAGGAAGGUGAAGUCGUANCA
This 315-nucleotide ribosomal RNA is filed under the name uncultured eukaryote. RNAcentral's name for it is "partial 18S ribosomal RNA". It matches the Rfam family "Eukaryotic small subunit ribosomal RNA", at positions 1470 to 1796 of the family's 1831-position model. The record is from RNAcentral.